This 523-nucleotide ribosomal RNA is filed under the name uncultured microorganism. RNAcentral's name for it is "bacterial SSU rRNA". It matches the Rfam family "Bacterial small subunit ribosomal RNA", at positions 9 to 514 of the family's 1533-position model. The record is from RNAcentral.
GAGUUUGAUCGUGGCUCAGGAUGAACGCUGGCGGCGUGCCUAAUACAUGCAAGUCGAGCGAACAGACGAGGAGCUUGCUCCUCUGACGUUAGCGGCGGACGGGUGAGUAACACGUGGAUAACCUACCUAUAAGACUGGGAUAACUUCGGGAAACCGGAGCUAAUACCGGAUAAUAUAUUGAACCGCAUGGUUCAAUAGUGAAAGACGGUUUUGCUGUCACUUAUAGAUGGAUCCGCGCCGCAUUAGCUAGUUGGUAAGGUAACGGCUUACCAAGGCAACGAUGCGUAGCCGACCUGAGAGGGUGAUCGGCCACACUGGAACUGAGACACGGUCCAGACUCCUACGGGAGGCAGCAGUAGGGAAUCUUCCGCAAUGGGCGAAAGCCUGACGGAGCAACGCCGCGUGAGUGAUGAAGGUCUUCGGAUCGUAAAACUCUGUUAUUAGGGAAGAACAAAUGUGUAAGUAACUAUGCACGUCUUGACGGUACCUAAUCAGAAAGCCACGGCUAACUACGUGCCAGCCC